Long non-coding RNA from Oreochromis niloticus (Nile tilapia), 425 nucleotides. RefSeq lists it as uncharacterized. The record is from RefSeq and is a predicted model, not a curated record. NCBI's taxonomy places the organism in Eukaryota, Metazoa, Chordata, Actinopteri, Cichliformes, Cichlidae. The transcript is spliced from 3 exons.
AUAUGAGUUGCUCUUUUUUGACUAAGUGGGUUGGUUUAAAUGGACUCACUGUAUUGGUGCACGGGUGUGGGGCGUGUCUCAUGGGUGUGUUAGAUGAGAAAUGUGGUUGCACUCACCUGUUCACCGCACCUGAUGUUGAUGAUCAGAAAGCUGACCUGCUGGUGGCACCGUUCCUGUGUGGAUGCUGGAUUUAACCACCUGCAGCUCAGCACGACCGUUUUGUUACCACGUGAUAUGUGACAGAUGUGGAAAUGCCAGCAGACACCAAAAGAAGGAGCACGAGAAGCAGGGAGAGCAUCGGGAGCUGAAGGAACAGCUGCUUCUUGCAGUGAUUUAGUCAUGUAUGGAGUUAAAACGAUGCUUAAAAUGAAACUGAAACAAAUAUUGGCAUUGAAAAAUAAUAUUGUAGCUGAAAUAUAUGUAUU